Molecule: long non-coding RNA, 543 nt
Organism: Anneissia japonica
Lineage: Eukaryota; Metazoa; Echinodermata; Crinoidea; Comatulida; Comatulidae
Exons: 3
Source: RefSeq, a predicted model, not a curated record
AUUAGCUUCGACGGCUUACGGAACGCAUAAGAUCUGUCAUACGACAUCCUAACUGCACUCCCCAUAUUAACCGCAACCGUUGCGUGACUCGCAAAACUGUGACAGGUAACAACGAGUAACAACACUGAAAUACGAAUCCAGGUGGUCGAAAGUAGACCUUGAAUUUAGAAAUUCAGAGAUGGCUUUUUCAAGUGCAACACGUUGCGUAAUUGUUGUGGUAUUGGCUGUGGCAAUACUGGGUGUGCUAAUGGUUCCCUCUGAAGCGAAACCCAGGGGAUUCGGCAGGACGUAUACAAGGAACAGUUGGAAGACAUCCAAAACAAGCUCACGAAAAUCCUGUUUAACGGAUAAAGACACAGAUGCUUGUGGAAUGGGUGGAAGAGGGUGGCUUCAGAACCUAUCGGAGUGUUGCUCGGGUUACAAAUGCGUGUACGUUAUCAAGAAAGUCAACACUUUUUCCAACUUUAAACCAACUCCCGUGUGUAGGAAAGCCUGAAUAAAGUGAAAUGAUAAUCUUCGAAGUUCCAGUAUGUCUUAUUAUUU